RNAcentral lists this ribosomal RNA (253 nucleotides) under uncultured bacterium. Its description in RNAcentral is "partial 16S ribosomal RNA". It matches the Rfam family "Bacterial small subunit ribosomal RNA", at positions 524 to 776 of the family's 1533-position model. The record is from RNAcentral.
UACGUAGGGGGCAAGCGUUAUCCGGAUUCACUGGGUGUAAAGGGAGCGUAGACGGCGACGCAAGUCUGGAGUGAAAGCCCGGGGCCCAACCCCGGGACUGCUCUGGAAACUGCGUCGCUGGAGUACGGGAGGGGCAGGCGGAAUUCCUGGUGUAGCGGUGAAAUGCGUAGAUAUCAGGAGGAACACCGGCGGCGAAGGCGGCCUGCUGGACCGUGACUGACGUUGAGGCUCGAGAGCGUGGGGAGCAAACAGG